GACGAUAUAAUUUUUUUUCCAGAUCACUCGCGAUCCUUCUUCCUCUUCCUCUUUCGUUCUUCUUCAGUUAUGGUGGCCAUUAACACUCGACUGGGCACUUCUUCUGUCGACGAAACUUCCGUAACGCUUCUCGAUUCCUCAUUUAUAUAGAGUUCUCGAGCUGCCUUAGCGGCCGUCCCUGCCGUCGCGGCGCCGCCCCCAUCUCCGCCGUCACCGCCGUCUCCGCAGACGCUGCCGUCUCCGCCGCCGCCGCCGUCCCCUAUACCACCUUCGACUCACUCUGACUUGGCAGGACCCACUUCUGUUCAGUUCGUUGUUGGUCGUCUCAUCCACUUUUGGGAUUCCCUGGAACAUCAAGAAGAAUGGAGAGUUCAUGUGGAUCACGAUCUCCUCCAUAAAUUGGUGCUUAGUGUUUGGAAUCUAUUUCCUUCCAUGCAUUAAUGAUAAGCCAUCAACUCGAGCUUUAAAUUAGAUCUUCUUGCUGCAUCAAAACACCGAUCUAAGAAGGCUCUGCAUAAUGAUUUUGUCAGACCCAAUAUCAGUCCCUUAUACCGCUUAAGAAUCGUUUGAUUGGAAGAGGCAGUAUUUAAGGUUCUUCAAAAAGAAGCAAACGUCAAUUCUUCGAACGAUUUGCUUUUGAGGUUAGUCAUUCUGAGAAUUUCAAGAGGUUCACUUGGAAAAACGUCCUAACUGCUCCGGGAGGUUGUUGGUUUGUCUAAGAGGUAUGUUAUAGACAUCGAGAAGGUGUUAAGAGUCACUUGCAAAACAGAAGGCGAGAGUGUAAGCUUGGAUCACUCUUAAAAUUUACAAAGGACUCGAGCUGCUAUUUUUCUUUCGCCUUACGACAAAGAAGGCUUAUGGGUUCUUCUACCGGAUUCAAACAACGUCUGGUACUUUCAGAAGGUUAGCUCCAUGGAUGAAUCUGAAGCUAUACACACUUCUUCAAGUGUUAUUAGUUGGACAAUGAAAAGUUUAGGAGCAAGGUUGAGGCAGAAAACAAGGAAGUUAGAGAAGGUUAAAUGCCUAUCAAGACUGGUAAUGGGGAAAUGCAUAAAACCCACAGAGAUGCUUGGAUCAGUUGCGAUGAAGAGACAUCACUGAAAGUUGAGUAUUUGAAAAGAAGAAGCGAUUUGGAGGGUCAGGUCGCAGAAGAAGGUAUGGAGGAGGAAGAAAAUGAUAAUAAAUAGAAUUAUGAAAGCAAAUAUAGUGAGGACACGUCAAACACAUUACCCAGUUAUUUGUUCUUCUUUAACUGUAGAUUUGCCUCCAAAAUUUUCACAGUGAUACACGUCACACACAUUACCCAGUUAUUUGUUUUUCUGCUGAUUUCAUAGUCGUUCUGGAUUUUGAUGGCUUUGACAUUCGUCGACUCUUCAAUUGAUGUUUUGAUUUGACACUUCUAAGCUUCACUGUAAAAUAAGUUAAUGCUUCCUGUUUCUGUUA
Molecule: long non-coding RNA, 1443 nt
Organism: Raphanus sativus (radish)
Lineage: Eukaryota; Viridiplantae; Streptophyta; Magnoliopsida; Brassicales; Brassicaceae
Exons: 5
Source: RefSeq, a predicted model, not a curated record